RNAcentral lists this long non-coding RNA (4783 nucleotides) under Sus scrofa (pig). RNAcentral describes it as "lncRNA (ENSSSCG00045030971.1)". The record is from RNAcentral. Lineage: Eukaryota; Metazoa; Chordata; Mammalia; Artiodactyla; Suidae.
AGGAUAUAAGAGCAGAUAGAAAUAUAUAAACGUGUUCAGGAAAUUGUGUGGGUUGUGAGAGAUAAAGGGGAGUGAAAGAUAAACACAAAGCUUUUUGGAAAGCAAGAAAAUAAGAAUGUUUUAUUUAAAUAUUUAAAGUAGAUUAAAUGUGUAAUAAGUAAAGAUGUUUAAAUUAAAAUUGGUAAAUUUGUAAGUAAAAUACGUAACUUAGAAAGAAAAUCAACAAACAAAAAUUGAUAAGUAGGAAACGUGGACCAAUGACCUUUCUCUCCAUCUGCUUCCAUUCUUUACACUGACCGUUUAAACUUGGUCUCAGAUACAGACUGAAGAGAUGGACUUUGAAAUAAGCAUGACCUAAGUGAUGACUGCGUAUCUGUUAAAUUUCAACCAUAUAAUCAAUCUCAAAAGUGUUGAAAAAAAAUGUAGGAAGCACAUUUCCCUAUAAUAAAACUAUUCAAAUAUAUGACUAACAUAUAAUUAACAACUCUUCUUGACACCAGGCAUAUAAUAAGUGAGACAGUCCUGUUGUUCAGGUUUGUAUACAUAGAAAAUUGGGGCAUUAGGAAAGUUGUUUUUUAUUUAUUAUUUAUUUUGUCUUUUCUAGGGCCACACUCAUGGCAUAUCAAGGUUCCCACCAGGCUAGGGGUCUAAUUGGAGCUGUAGCCACCGGCCUACACCACAGCCACAGCAACUUGGGAUCUGAGCUGCAUCUUCGACCUACAGCACAGCUUGUGGCAACAUCGGAUCCUUAACCCACUGAGCAAGGUCAGGGAUCGAACCUGCAACCUCAUGGUUCCUAGUCGGAUUCGUUAACCACUGAGUCACUACGGGAACUCCAAGUUGUCUUUUUAAAAGUUAAACUUUUAUACAAAUAAUUCUGGACCAGACGCAGUGUAUUUCUUUAACAAAAAAGAUUAAUGAUAUCUCUAGGGAAAUUUUCCUCCUGGGUAUCUGUAUAACCAAACACAUAAAAUAAUUAAAGUUUUUCAAUGGGCACUGGAUAAGAAAAUGUUUUAUGUUGAGGAUAUACAUAAUAUAAUUUCCAACCUCUGUAACAACACACAUUAUUAUUGAAAAGUCAUAUAUUAAAUAAAAAUAGGUAUAAAAAGGACAAAGAUGUGUAGUUUCCAAAAAUCAGAGAAUUUCAGGGGAGUUCUAAGAUAAGGAAAUAAGAUCUGCUGUCAAAAUUAUGUAGUUAAUAAUGCAGACAAAUACAGUUAAAAUAAAUGAGUAUUAUUUUUCCUGGACAUUUCCUUUGGAUUCACAUAAUUAUGAAGUAAUCUAUCAUAAAAUUUUUUUUCAUUUCUUCAAAUAGCUCAAUGACAACAAUUGUAGGAAUUCAUAUAUUAAAAAACUAGGUCAAAAUGAUAAAUUCAAAUUCUUUGUCAAAAUUCAACAGUUACACACACUACUCCCAGCACAAACUGUAAAGAAAUGAACAAAUUUCGCAUUAGAAAGCAGACCUAUGUAUGCACUAAUAUUUAGUUGUGUUGGAUACUGUGACCAACCUGAUAAAUUUUAAAAGGAAACAUUUCCAGUAUCAAAUUAUCACUGUACUCCAUAUAUUUUCUUUCACCAUUUUUCCUAAAUCAGAACUUGAAAGGCUAUAAAAGGAGGUUAUUUUUUUUAAUGGUAAACAUAGAACAAAUUAGAUUAAACGUAACUAGCAGGAAAUAUGGUCUUUAAACUUUAGACAUACCAAUCUUUUACCUUUUUUGAAUACCAAAGCAGUUUUCCAAAAACACUUAAAAAAGGAUAUAUACUGAGAUUUACUCAGACAAAAUCAUCUCUAAUUCAAUAUUUAACUACUUAUCAUCACGCUGAAUAGGGCUCACCAACAUUCCAUUCCUCUCUGCAUGGAUCUCACUCUACCCCUCAAUCUACCCAUAUCUAUUUAAGAUAACUUUGUACUUGGUUUGAUCAGUGCUUUGUUUCCUCAGAUUUUUUGACUAGUAUAUUACAUUUUCCCAUUACUACAAUUUACUUAUUUAUGUACCGAAUACCUUUCUAAGUAUCACCCACAAUGCCAGUCUUCAUUGAUCCCAUGGUGUUACUUAUGCUUUCUGUGCUCUGAAGGAAAAUAGCCAAAGAUUAUGAAGAAUUCUCAGGAGGAUAUGAGAUCCAAGAACACCAAUCCCAAAGUAUCAAAAAUGUACAAGUUAUACCAGGGUUCUUCUCAGGCACAACGUGUUUUUAAAAAAAUAAAACAUGUAUUAUAAAAACUAUUUUAACUCUGUCUCUGGAGAAUUCGUAUAGAUUCUAUAAUAUCUUUGCCUCCCACACACUUUAUGUUUUGAAAUCCCAAAUACAUAGGUCAUUUGAAAGCACACACACAAAAAACAAAGCAUGAUUUUAGUUGGCAAUAAAAAGUGACACCUUAUAGUAAGAUGAAGAAUUUAGCCUGUUAAGGAAACAUCGUACCUCAGGUUAAAUGCAACAUUAGUAGUCUAUGCCCUAGGUGACCUCAGUUUCUUUCCUGAAAGUUGCCUUCUCUCAAAAUAGCUUUUGGGAUUUUUUUUUAAAUUAUUAUUGGAUCUUAAACUAAUAGCUCAUGAUAACUAAAUAGUCUCCACAACAUCUAUCUUAAUAGAAUAUUUAUCUAUGUAUAUAGCUACCAUUCCUGUAACUUGUUGUAGACAUGUGGCUACAUUAUGUCCAAAGGAUGUAAAGGAAAAUACCCAGUGCAAUUUCUUGGGAAUCCUAUUCUAAUAAAGGAAGUUUUUUUCUUCUUCCACUUUAUUCUCUUAUGAUGGCAAGUCAUUUGGAGCCAUGAGUAUGAUCAAUUACAGUAGGAAGUGCUAGUAAACAAGAUAGAACUAAUCCAAGUCAACAAGGAGAACACAAUGAUUUUGUGGAUGUACCAGCCUGAACAUUUAAAUGAGAGAAACAUAAAUUAUUUUUUGUUUAAACAAUUGUGGUAUUUGUAUUCGUCACACUCUAGAAAUCUGUUAGAAAAACCUGUUUCCUUUGACUGAUAUUUUAUAUUUAUUUGAUUUCUUUACUAUAUUCCCUGUGUCUCUUUCAUGAUUCAUUUUCUGCUUCCAAUUAUUGGCUAAGUAUUCCAUGAACUCAAUAUCAAUUUUUAAAAUUGUCAAUAAUUUAGCUCUUUAAUUGAAAUUAUUCUAAUUAUUUACAAACUCUAAGGUAAAUACAUGUGUCUAUUCUUGGGUCUCUAUUUCUGUGAUUUUUGUGGAUUUUGGGCUUUGUAUCUCCCUCUAGUAUGAUUAUAUUUUUUUUUUACUGGAUAGUCAAAACUGUAUGCAAGUGUUAAAGGCACAGGGUGAUAAUUAAUUACACAGAUAUAAUUAAAUUCAUUGUAGCACACAGGUUAAGGAAGAAAAGCUUAACUAAAAUGGAAUGAGGUUAUUCAAAUACGUGUUUCAUGCUAUGGGAGAAAUGAUGGAUUCAUUGUACUUCUGCUUGGAGUCUAUGAUUUCAGUGUUGUGACCUAAAAGUCUAGGUAUUGACGCAGGCUCUUCCACCUUGGCAAGUCAUAAAUAUCAAAUUUUGUCUUCGGACAUUAGGAAACAGCAGGGAUUUCUUGAGAUUCUUUAUCAGCGGGUGCUGCUUUGCACUUGUGGGUCUCUGUUUUCCUUGCUUGAUGCUUAGGAUUUAUCAACUAUGUUUAGGGAGAAAACAAAGAGAUGGGAAAAAAUGGACUACGAAUACCUUAGGGAAUUGUUUAGUCUGUGGUCACAGUGGUUAUCAGGGAUUUCGGAAUAUACAUCAGUGUGAAUGAGAUUCUUAAGAAGGAGAAAUUUUAGAGGAAAAAAUACAUUAAAAUUUUGAGGAAGGGAUUUGGCUGGAAAAACAGAAAAAAUUCUCCAUCAUUCUCAACCUUUUUCUUGCAAAACAGAAAUAGGAAAAAAAGCAAUUUGCCAAAAGGUUCAUCUGUCAGGCUAAGCUAAAUGAACUCUGUCUCCAAUAACUGGUUCUUAUUUCCCUUUUAUGAAUCUUACCAAAACUACACAAUGAAAAUGAUUAGUUUAAAGUAAUAAAGUGUGUGUGUGUGUUUUUUUUUUUACUGACAACUAAAGAAAAACACUUUUUCAGAAUUCUGUUCAUGAGCAUGUAUUUUUUUCUGCAUAAAUAUCACGUGAUAUUUAACGUCCUCUAAUAAACUGGUUUACAGAUCUGGAUAUCCUAAAAUUUCUCUCCUCUUUGAUAGCUUGAAUAGUUCCUAUUUGGCAGAAUUUGUCUUAUUGUUUUCAUUUUGACUCCUACCAUAUGAAUAUUUUAAGGAGUAAAAGCAUAUGUUUUUUGAAUUACACUUUCUAAUUAUAUUGAAGAAAAAAUAAUUGAAAUAAAUUAUAAAUAUUAGUAUCAACUAACUUUUACUUGGCUAUUCCAAUCUUUCCCUCAAAAACAGAUGUUUAAGUCCAGGUCCAGGUUAUAUUUACAAAUGUUAUAGUUCCAUUAUUUCAUUUCCCCACCCAAUUCUGAAUUUAAUUUAUAACCCCUGAAGCAUUCAUUUCUUUUACCCUGCAGAAAAACCUCAUUUAUUAUUUUAAAAUUAUUAUUCUUCUUUUUGCUAAACGUACCAAUAUACCCACUUAUUUAAUCAAUUUAUAUUUAGUCCAAGUAAUGAGUUGAUGCUUUACAAAAUCUAUGUUAUAUAUGGGAAGAAAUAUAAAUAUAGGAAAGAUAAAUAAAAGACAAAAAAUACUUUCUUUAAUUUUAUCUUCCUUAUAAUAUGUAAGGGGUUAUGCAUAAUUUAUAAUUCUUUCAACACAUUUAUUGUUGUCAAACUACAGUAUUCUGAUUAAACAAGUGAUUUUCAAAG